Molecule: long non-coding RNA, 671 nt
Organism: Musca domestica (house fly)
Lineage: Eukaryota; Metazoa; Arthropoda; Insecta; Diptera; Muscidae
Exons: 3
Source: RefSeq, a predicted model, not a curated record
CCAUAUAACAAGAAUCGUAUCUCUACUACCAAACCAUACCCCUGCCGGCGGUACAUUGCGUUAAGGAUUUACCUUCUUUGGGGGACGUAAAACUCGCAGAAAAAAAAAGGAAAACAAGAAAAUCGUAACAAAACAAAACUCAAAGAAACGAAUAAGUGUGCAGAAUAAAAGUGAGACAACAUAUACACAUGUGAGUGUGUGCGUGUGGUGUGUGUUUUUGUUAAGUUUGCAGCGUUAAUGGAAAAAGUUUUACAGCGGCCCAACUGACAUUUUGAAUGAUUCGGAAUUAAAAGUUUUUGGCAAAUUCAAAUGUGAUUGCGUGUGUGUUCAUCUGAGCCGCAAAGACAGCACUUCCUGCCAACACCACCACCCCUUGGAUUGCAAUUGCUAACCAAUAUUAUUGUUGUCUCGCCAUCGCUUUCCCGCCAACUAACCUCUAACAUGGAAUAUACAUUUAGAUUUAAAUUAAUUAAAUCAAUUGCUUUAAAUAGUUUAUUUUAAUGCUUUUAUUUUAUUAUUAUUUAACAAUUAUUUGCAUAUAAUAAAGCUAAAAAUUCAUAAUUUUCGCAUUAACCAGCGGCUAUGUUCACGAUAAAAACAAGACUAUAUAGUUAUGUAAUAAUGAUUAGUACAUAAUGGGCUUUGGCAGUAGUUAGUAGAAUUUUGUGGCU